Molecule: non-coding RNA, 23 nt
Filed under: Arabidopsis thaliana (thale cress)
Lineage: Eukaryota; Viridiplantae; Streptophyta; Magnoliopsida; Brassicales; Brassicaceae
Source: RNAcentral
AAAGCCUAGCAAUGUCUCUUACA